Molecule: RNA transcript, 1111 nt
Organism: Fundulus heteroclitus (mummichog)
Lineage: Eukaryota; Metazoa; Chordata; Actinopteri; Cyprinodontiformes; Fundulidae
Gene name: lysozyme C-like
Exons: 6
Source: RefSeq, a predicted model, not a curated record
UUAGAAACCGAAUAAAUCAGCGACGGGACUCCAAGGGGAGCACAUUGACUAGAAAUUGACCAGAAGAGAAAACCUUGCGUCCAGCAGAGACCGUCGUGAUGAAGCACCUCCUGUUGCUGCUCCUGGUGGCUGUGGCCUACGCCAAAGUCUACUAUCGCUGUGAAUGGGCGAGAACGCUGAAAACCUACGGCAUGGAUGGUUAUCGUGGCGUCAGCCUGGCCGACUGGGUCUGUCUGACCGAGCACUCAUCCGGCUUCAAUACCAACGCGACCACCCCUGCCAAACGUAGCUCGACUGACUACGGCAUCUUCCAGAUCAACAGCGCCGCCUGGUGCGACGACGGUCAGACCCAAACCAUCAACGGCUGUGGGAUUAGCUGCAGCGACCUCAUGGCAGACGUGGGCGAUUCGAUCUGCUGUGCCAAACGCAUCGUCAGAGGUCCUCAAGGCCUCGAAGCAUGGUACAAAUGGAUUUCUAACUGCAAGGGCAGAGACUUAAACGGCACGUUGACCGGUUGCGACGUCUGACCUGGAAGAGACAGAACAUCUGAAUAAAGAUUUCCAAAUCUGCUUCCAUUCCAUGGGCCUCAGGAGCAAGACCGAUUGAGUGAGGAGUUUCUUGUCUAUCAGUUAAUGGACAUCCCAAUACCAGAUCCUGUAGCAUUUGACAUUGAAGGUUUUUGGGAGACCAUGUCAUCACUUCAGAAUAGGGUGACUGGUAUGGACAGAUUUAAACGGCUGUCCACCAUUUCCCGACUUGUUCUUGUACUUCCCCACUCCAAUGCUGAUGCAGAGAGAGGUUUUUUUCUAUGGUUGGCAUGAACAAGAUAAAGAGCAGCAACAGCUUGGCACUGGAUGGCACCUUAUCAUCAAUAAUGACUGUGAAAAUGGCCGGACUGGAGCCUGCAUGUUCUAAAUAGGAGCCCCAAAACGCUGUGAUUUAAAAAAGCAAAAACUGCUACGAGCACAUACAACAUGAUUCAUAAAGAUGUAUAAAAGAUAAAAACACAUACAGAGUAACUUAUGCUGUGUGUGAAUAAGAGUUAAGGGACUGUGUGUGUUCAUUUUGUUGUAAAAGAAUGUUAUUAAAGAAGUUAUAGUCUGUUUAUUCA